RNAcentral lists this ribosomal RNA (497 nucleotides) under uncultured bacterium. Its description in RNAcentral is "partial 16S ribosomal RNA". It matches the Rfam family "Bacterial small subunit ribosomal RNA", at positions 28 to 507 of the family's 1533-position model. The record is from RNAcentral.
GAUGAACGCUGGCGGCGUGCCUAAUACAUGCAAGUCGAGCGAACAGACGAGGAGCUUGCUCCUCUGACGUUGGCGGCUGACGGGUGGGUAACACGUGGAUAACCUACCUAUAUUACUGGGAUAACUUCGGGAAACCGGAGCUAAUACCGGAUAAUAUAUUGAACCGCAUGGAUCAAUAGUGAAAGACGGUUUUGGUGUCACUUUUAGAUGGUUUCGUGCCGGAUUAGCUAGUUGGUAAGGUAACGGCCUACCAAGGCGACGAUCCGUAGCCGACCUGAGAGGGUGAUCGGCCACACGGGAACUGAGACACGGUCCAGACUCCUACGGGAGGCAGCAGUAGGGAAUCUUCCACAAUGGGCGAAAGCCUGACGGAGCAACGCCGCGUGAGUGAUGAAGGUCUUCGGAUCGUAAAACUCUGUUAUUAGGGAAGAAAAAAUGUGUAAGUAACUAUGCACGUCUUGACGGUACCUAAUCAGAAAGCCCCGGCUAACUACGUG